AGCUAAAAAUGGAGACAAAAUUACCUAUUUUAUGGUGCUGAUGUGACGAUUUAGCUUUAGCGUAAACGGGAUGAACGCCAACUCUAGACACUCAUACGUUAGGUUAGAUGCUUCAUGUUUUUAGGGGCGGGUAGAGGAGCACCAGCUACACUACUUAGGGAUCCGCAAGGCCAUGGCCCACUCAGACACUUCUCUCCGCCCCGCUCCCCUUCCAGCUGUGGGGCGAUUCUGAAACACCGCCUUCUUCCCGCGGAAAAAGCCAAGAGCCGCGCGCGCGCGGGUGAAGUCUGGCCUCCUGAGCCGGGGCACCCUUCUCCGGGGAGGUCGGACCGGCUGCCCCGACCCCAGCGCUGCCCAGCUCACAGGCGGCGGAAGCUGUGAGGAAGUCCGCCCAAGUUCUCGGCGCCAGCGGAGGGGCAGGGGGCCAGGAUGUCACUCGGCGGUCACUCUCGCCUUAGAGAAGGCACCCCCUUCCGGAGAACGCUGGAGAGAAGCACCAGAAUUGCCCCUGCCCAGCUGAGGGAGUUGAGGGAACUUAGUUACCAUGAGCAGAAACCUUCCUCCAUGAGCAGAACCCCAGCUCCAUCCACGUUGUUGCAAAUGGAGCAGAAUGCAACUUCUGGAUGGACAGCCAUGCUGCUGUUUGGACUGGCCAGCAGGAAGUGACAACCCACACAAGAGCAGGGCUGAGGAAAGGACUGCCCAGUCAUCUGGGGCUGGGAAGUAUCUCCCAGGAUGUUAUCUCCAGGCAUCGGUUGAGGAAUGAUUCAUUAAGUCUUCCUUCGCUGGAGCUUGUGACCAAUGAGCACUGUCUGUUUGUUCAUUUAGAGAAAUGUUGCACUUCCACCAAGCAUUAUUUUUAGCACUUAUGCGAGGUCUAGCAGAGCUCAUGAAUCAAAAGUGGCUCAGAAAGGCUGAGCCUUCAACGUGUUAGGCAGUCGGCCAGAAUGGCCCAUUCAUAUACUGACUUGCCACCAAAAUGAGGUCUGUAUUUUUCAUCCUGUGAACAGGGUCAAGGGGUUGUUUUAUUUGCUUGCCACUGUAGAUAAUCGUGGACCAGAAGGUAGGAAAGGAGGGCUCAUUCAGUCUGCUCAUGUGGCAUGGGGCUGCUGCUCUGCCUGGCAUAUCACUCUGGUACUCUGGCUCUAGUUCCUGCCAACUUUGAAAGUACCCACAGGAAGCUUAGGAAUCCCAGAAUCUAGUGAACAGAACACUCCUUCUAAGCCUGCAUACAUGAAAACUGUCCCUGCCUGUAGAGGGAGUGUACAGUCACUUCAUUUAUAUAAACACUGGGCAGACUGGCACCCAAAGUGUAGAAGGGUGAUCUUACUCCAUAAUACUCUUAUUUCCCUUUUUAAAAAUGUUCCCUGGCAGAGAGAGUAUUUGGAAAAAAAUUAGACAAAAAUAAAUAGGGCUUAAACAUUCUAGUUACCCAUGGGAUAAACGAUUUACAUUUCAACUACUGGCCAAGCCAGCAGCUGCAAGAAGUUGAUAAGGAUGCAGUAAAUGGGGCUGCAGAGCAGAGGAAAACACAUAUUAAAGCCUUUGAAAGGUUGGAUUUUAACAAGUAGAGUAAGAGAAGAAAGUACCUCCCUCUGCUUUUUACCCUCUAUCUAGCUCUUUUUGCAUAUUCUUUUGUGAUUUUUACAGGAUUACAGACAGGUUCUGACGAAUCAUAUGGCCCGGCUAUGGUUUUAAUCUUUCUGUCAUUCUUCUCACUUUCCAGACAUGGUGAACUCCUCCAAAACAUCCCAGCAUUGGAACUGUGCAGACAACAGAGACCUAAGUGCUGUGUGGCCUCACUGAACAGGAACGCACAGCUAAUCCUGGAAAGUGCUUGCUGAAUAUUUCAGUCAGGGUAACAUUACGGAGUUGGAGAAAGAUGGUGGGGCCUUGCUGCAGAGGCCUUUGAUGGCCAAGACCAUCUGCUCUCUUUCUCCAUUAGUUUCCUCUCACUCCAUUAUGACUACCUAGUACCUCCCCCAAAAAAGAAAGGAAGAAGUUAUAAGCUCUACAUUCUGAACUUGCCUAUCCAGGUGUGUUGUGUGCACAAAUUUAUGGGCAGCAUAACCGUGAGAGUCAGAGUGGAUGUGUAUAUUUAUUAUGACACAUUUUCAGCAGACAGCAGUAAGGUGUCUUGAGAAAGACGUAUUUUUAUCAUUUGUACAAGGACACCAUUUGGCCUGGGAGGUGGGGUGCGAUAAUAAAGGCUGCAAUUCA
Manis javanica (Malayan pangolin) is the source of this 2220-nucleotide long non-coding RNA. RefSeq lists it as uncharacterized. The record is from RefSeq and is a predicted model, not a curated record. NCBI's taxonomy places the organism in Eukaryota, Metazoa, Chordata, Mammalia, Pholidota, Manidae.